Rosa chinensis is the source of this 780-nucleotide long non-coding RNA. RefSeq lists it as uncharacterized. NCBI's taxonomy places the organism in Eukaryota, Viridiplantae, Streptophyta, Magnoliopsida, Rosales, Rosaceae. The transcript is spliced from 4 exons. The record is from RefSeq and is a predicted model, not a curated record.
UGUAAAAAUUCAUAUGUUCCUUAUUUAUCGUUUGGGCUGUGCGAUUGCUUUACUCAGAGGUGAAGACCUUGCUUACCCGAAAUACGAUUCCGAUGAUUCGGUUAAGGAUCCGAGUUAUAGCACUGUUGAAGAGUAAGGCCAAGGCACGGAACAACGAUGACAAAAGGGAGGCAUUAGAUAAUCUGGAUAUAAUACUUUUUCCUUUAUUUGAAGGCGUGAGAAAAGAGUGAAUGAGGUCGAGCAGUAUUACUUGAGGAAAGGCAGUCUGCAACCAACCACUUCGAAGGAGAAAGACAAAGAAACAUUUUAAUACAAUUAAGAAGCAGCAGCAAGAUGCAUCACGUAGGGAAGCCACUGCGGCAAAGAGGAUUCGAGAUCUGUUGAAUAAGUUUUCCGCAAUCUUCAAACAGGAAAUUGAAGCAAAUGAGAAGCAUUGAUAUCAACUCCAACUUGAGGAGGCUAUUAGUAACAUAGGUGCAUUUUCUCCCCCAGUAUUUGGUUGUUGUUACUUUGCCUUUCUUUUCCUUUUUGUACUCAUCAAGUGUUCUAUAGCUGGAACAGAACUUUCUGUUUUCGUCAAACUAUCAAUCUAUUACAUAUAAAAUUCAUGAAAAAGGAACCAAACCCGCAGCAACGCGCGGAUGCUUUUUCUAGUCUAUAUACUAAAUGUCAGUGCACUGUUCCUGACUGUUCAUAAGGGACGGAAAGCACGGUUCUGUCCUCACUUUAUCUUUUUUUUACGCCUCUGCCAUUUACUCUCUCUUCCUCCCCUCUGCCUCU